GUGUCAAUGGUGUAUUGGUAACAUUGGGUCUUCCCACUGCAUGACAGUUUGGCCUAGCACCGGGUUCGAUUCCCGGUUGACGCA
This is a non-coding RNA of Mycena vitilis, 84 nucleotides long. Lineage: Eukaryota; Fungi; Basidiomycota; Agaricomycetes; Agaricales; Mycenaceae. The record is from the annotation of a GenBank genome assembly.